GACGAACGCUGGCGGCGUGCCUAAUACAUGCAAGUAGAACGCACAGUUUAUACCGUAGCUUGCUACACCAUAGACUGUGAGUUGCGAACGGGUGAGUAACGCGUAGGUAACCUGCCUGGUAGCGGGGGAUAACUAUUGGAAACGAUAGCUAAUACCGCAUAAUAUUAAUUAUUGCAUGAUAAUUAAUUGAAAGGUGCAAUUGCACCACUACCAGAUGGACCUGCGUUGUAUUAGCUAGUAGGUGAGGUAACGGCUCACCUAGGCGACGAUACAUAGCCGACCUGAGAGGGUGAUCGGCCACACUGGGACGGAGACACGGCCCAGACUCCUCCGGGAGGCAGCAGUAGGGAAUCUUCGGCAAUGGACGAAAGUCUGACCGAGCAACGCCGCGUGAGUGAAGAAGGUUUUCGGAUCGUAAAGCUCUGUGGUAAGAGAAGAACGGGUGUGAGAGUGGAAAGUUCACACUGUGACGGUAUCUUACCAGAAAGGGACGGCU
Molecule: ribosomal RNA, 496 nt
Filed under: uncultured bacterium
Lineage: Bacteria
Description: partial 16S ribosomal RNA
Rfam family: Bacterial small subunit ribosomal RNA
Source: RNAcentral